This 737-nucleotide ribosomal RNA is filed under the name Bacillus subtilis. RNAcentral describes it as "bacterial SSU rRNA". It matches the Rfam family "Bacterial small subunit ribosomal RNA", at positions 26 to 745 of the family's 1533-position model. Lineage: Bacteria; Bacillati; Bacillota; Bacilli; Caryophanales; Bacillaceae. The record is from RNAcentral.
AGGACGAACGCUGGCGGCGUGCCUAAUACAUGCAAGUCGAGCGGACAGAUGGGAGCUUGCUCCCUGAUGUUAGCGGCGGACGGGUGAGUAACACGUGGGUAACCUGCCUGUAAGACUGGGAUAACUCCGGGAAACCGGGGCUAAUACCGGAUGCUUGUUUGAACCGCAUGGUUCAAACAUAAAAGGUGGCUUCGGCUACCACUUACAGAUGGACCCGCGGCGCAUUAGCUAGUUGGUGAGGUAAUGGCUCACCAAGGCAACGAUGCGUAGCCGACCUGAGAGGGUGAUCGGCCACACUGGGACUGAGACACGGCCCAGACUCCUACGGGAGGCAGCAGUAGGGAAUCUUCCGCAAUGGACGAAAGUCUGACGGAGCAACGCCGCGUGAGUGAUGAAGGUUUUCGGAUCGUAAAGCUCUGUUGUUAGGGAAGAACAAGUACCGUUCGAAUAGGGCGGUACCUUGACGGUACCUAACCAGAAAGCCACGGCUAACUACGUGCCAGCAGCCGCGGUAAUACGUAGGUGGCAAGCGUUGUCCGGAAUUAUUGGGCGUAAAGGGCUCGCAGGCGGUUUCUUAAGUCUGAUGUGAAAGCCCCCGGCUCAACCGGGGAGGGUCAUUGGAAACUGGGGAACUUGAGUGCAGAAGAGGAGAGUGGAAUUCCACGUGUAGCGGUGAAAUGCGUAGAGAUGUGGAGGAACACCAGUGGCGAAGGCGACUCUCUGGUCUGUAACUGACG